GACGAACGCUGGCGGCGUGCUUAACACAUGCAAGUCGAACGGAAAGGCCCUGCUUUUGUGGGGUGCUCGAGUGGCGAACGGGUGAGUAACACGUGAGUAACCUGCCCUUGACUUUGGGAUAACUUCAGGAAACUGGGGCUAAUACCGGAUAGGAGCUCCUGCUGCAUGGUGGGGGUUGGAAAGUUUCGGCGGUUGGGGAUGGACUCGCGGCUUAUCAGCUUGUUGGUGGGGUAGUGGCUUACCAAGGCUUUGACGGGUAGCCGGCCUGAGAGGGUGACCGGCCACAUUGGGACUGAGAUACGGCCCAGACUCCUACGGGAGGCAGCAGUGGGGAUAUUGCACAAUGGGCAGAAGCCUGAUGCAGCAACGCCGCGUGCGGGAUGACGGCCUUCGGGUUGUAAACCGCUUUCGCCUGUGACGAAGCGUGAGUGACGGUAAUGGGUAAAGAAGCACCGGCUAACUACGUG
This 467-nucleotide ribosomal RNA is filed under the name uncultured bacterium. RNAcentral's name for it is "partial 16S ribosomal RNA". It matches the Rfam family "Bacterial small subunit ribosomal RNA", at positions 28 to 507 of the family's 1533-position model. The record is from RNAcentral.